GAUGAACGCUGGCGGCGUGCUUAAUACAUGCAAGUCGAACGAAGGUUGUAGCAAUACAUCCUUAGUGGCGAACGGGCGAGUAACGCGUUGGUGACCUGCCCCGAAGUGCGGGAUAACAGUCCGAAAGGAUUGCUAAUACCGCAUGGUUUCAUUUGGAUUAGAUGCCAGAUGAGCAAAGGCGAAAGUCGCUUCGGGAGGGCUUGCGUCCCAUCAGCUAGUUGGUAGGGUAAUGGCCUACCAAGGCAAUGACGGGUAGGGGACCUGAGAGGGUGGCCCCCCACAAUGGAACUGAAACACGGUCCAUACACCUACGGGUGGCAGCAGUAGGGAAUAUUGGUUAAUGUGCGAAAGCGCGAACCAGCAACGCCGCGUGCACGGAUGAAGGCCUUCGGGUGUAAAGUGCUUUUUGAGGGGAUGAGGAAGGACAGUACCCUCAGAAUAAGUCUCGGCCAACUACGUGCCAGCAGCCGCGUAACUGUAGUCGU
Molecule: ribosomal RNA, 485 nt
Filed under: uncultured bacterium
Lineage: Bacteria
Description: bacterial SSU rRNA
Rfam family: Bacterial small subunit ribosomal RNA
Source: RNAcentral